Molecule: unclassified non-coding RNA, 346 nt
Filed under: Hevea brasiliensis (rubber tree)
Lineage: Eukaryota; Viridiplantae; Streptophyta; Magnoliopsida; Malpighiales; Euphorbiaceae
Source: RNAcentral
AAAUAAUAUAGUGAUUGACUUUACUUAACAGUGAGCAAAGACAAUUAAGUAUGAAUCCCGGCCUUCUUAGAAAGGGCUAGCUUCUGAGAAGAGUGAUUUAACAUACCACUUGCUCUAUCACUAUCCAAUUGAUGUGAAACUCUUGGAGUGCUCUUCAUUGUUUCUUAAUCGUUUUUAUACUAUUUUGUUUGGCUUUUACCUGAAGCUUUUUGAAUGUAUUGUGGUACCAUUUUUGAGCAGUGGUUUGCAUUUAUUUUAAUUUUUAAUGAUUGUGCACUUAAUAAUUUAAUUAAUCGUGUAUGACAGUUGAUUACUAAAUCUGAAAGCCUUUGCCUGUAACAGUUUU